This 473-nucleotide ribosomal RNA is filed under the name uncultured bacterium. RNAcentral describes it as "bacterial SSU rRNA". It matches the Rfam family "Bacterial small subunit ribosomal RNA", at positions 355 to 825 of the family's 1533-position model. The record is from RNAcentral.
UGGGGAAUUUUGGACAAUGGGCGCAAGCCUGAUGACGCAACGCCGCGUGGGGGAUGAAGGUCUUCGGAUCGUAAACCCCUGUCGAAUGGGACGAAAGACUCGCGAGUGAAUACUUCGCGAGAGUGACGGUACCGUUAAAGGAAGCCACGGCUAACUCUGUGCCAGCAGCCGCGGUAAUACAGAGGUGGCAAGCGUUGUUCGGAAUUACUGGGCGUAAAGGGCGCGUAGGCGGCCCUCUAAGUCAGACGUGAAAUCCCCCGGCUUAACCUGGGAACUGCGUCUGAUACUGGAGGGCUUGAGUAUGGGAGAGGGAUGUAGAAUUCCAGGUGUAGCGGUGAAAUGCGUAGAUAUCUGGAGGAAUACCGGUGGCGAAGGCGGCAUCCUGGACCAUUACUGACGCUGAGGUGCGAAAGCGUGGGGAGCAAACAGGAUUAGAUACCCAGGUAGUCCCUGAGCGGGCUGGCAAGGCGCAU